CGGGGUGCAGCAGGCGCGAAAACUUUACAAUGCCGGCAACGGCGAUAAGGGGACCUCGAGUGCCAGGUUACAAAUCUGGCUGUCGAGAUGCCUAAAAAGCAUUUCAUAGCAAGGGCCGGGCAAGACCGGUGCCAGCCGCCGCGGUAACACCGGCGGCUUGAGUGGUAACCGUUAUUAUUGGGUCUAAAGGGUCUGUAGCCGGCCGGAUAAGUCUCCUGGGAAAUCCAGCAGCUCAACUGUUGGGCUUUCGGGAGAUACUGUAUGGCUCGAGGCCGGGAGAGGUGAGAGGUACUUCAGGGGUAGGGGUGAAAUCUUGUAAUCCUUGAAGGACCACCAGUGGCGAAGGCGUCUCACCAGAACGGACCUGACGGCAAGGGACGAAAGCUAGGGGCACGAACCGGAUUAGAUACCCGGGUAGUCCUAGCCGUAAACGAUACUCGCUAGGUGUCGGCCACGGUGCGACCGUUGUCGGUGCCGUAGGGAAGCCGUGAAGCGAGCCACCUGGGAAGUACGGCCGCAAGGAUGAAACUUAAAGGAAUCGGCGGGCGAGCAC
Molecule: ribosomal RNA, 553 nt
Filed under: uncultured archaeon
Lineage: Archaea
Description: bacterial SSU rRNA
Rfam family: Archaeal small subunit ribosomal RNA
Source: RNAcentral